UACGGAGGGUGCAAGCGUUAUCCGGAUUCACUGGGUUUAAAGGGUGCGUAGGCGGAUAUGUAAGUCCGUGGUGAAAUCUCUGGGCUUAACCCGGAAACUGCCAUGGAUACUAUGUGUCUUGAAUGUUGUUGAGGUGAGCGGAAUAUGUCAUGUAGCGGUGAAAUGCUUAGAUAUCGUAAGGAAGACCAGUGGCGAAGGCGGGUCUCUGGACAGUUCCUGACGCUGAGGCACGAAGGCCAGGGGAGCAAACGGG
This 253-nucleotide ribosomal RNA is filed under the name uncultured bacterium. Its description in RNAcentral is "partial 16S ribosomal RNA". It matches the Rfam family "Bacterial small subunit ribosomal RNA", at positions 524 to 776 of the family's 1533-position model. The record is from RNAcentral.